AUUGAACGCUGGCGGCAUGCCUUACACAUGCAAGUCGAACGGCAGCACGGACUUCGGUCUGGUGGCGAGUGGCGAACGGGUGAGUAAUGUAUCGGAACGUACCUUUCAGUGGGGGAUAACGUAGCGAAAGGUACGCUAAUACCGCAUAUUCUGUGAGCAGGAAAGAAGGGGAUGGAAAGAGAUUGUGGGUAGGGUGGGUACGAUAUCAGAUUAGCUAGUUGGUGGGGUAAAGGCCUACCAAGGCGACGAUCUGUAGCGGGUCUGAGAGGAUGAUCCGCCACACUGGAACUGAGACACGGUCCAGACUCCUACGGGAGGCAGCAGUGGCGAAUUUUCUACACUUGUCUCAACCCUUAUCCAACCAUUCCACGUCAGUUAAGAAGGCCUUCGGGUUGUAAAGCUCUUUCGGCCGGGAAGAAAUCGAAUAUCCUAAUACCCUAUUUUUAUAACAUUCCCCUAAUAAUAAUCACCGGCUAACUACUUG
This 484-nucleotide ribosomal RNA is filed under the name uncultured bacterium. RNAcentral's name for it is "partial 16S ribosomal RNA". It matches the Rfam family "Bacterial small subunit ribosomal RNA", at positions 30 to 507 of the family's 1533-position model. The record is from RNAcentral.